Chiroxiphia lanceolata (lance-tailed manakin) is the source of this 1645-nucleotide long non-coding RNA. RefSeq lists it as uncharacterized. The transcript has 3 exons. NCBI's taxonomy places the organism in Eukaryota, Metazoa, Chordata, Aves, Passeriformes, Pipridae. The record is from RefSeq and is a predicted model, not a curated record.
AUUUAAUCUUUUUUAUCAUGUCCAUGCCAACUUCCAUCAUGAGUGAAGGCCCAGCUCUUUUUGUUGUGUUUGUUUUGUGGCUCUAUGAAGACAUAAAUCAGCAGACCUUGGUUCACAGAAUCCUGGAAUAUGCUGAGUGGGAAGGGACCUGCCAGGAUCAACUUCUGGCCCAAGGAUCACUCCAGGAGAUGUCAGUGUGCUCCAAUGGCUCUUUGCUCCCCAGCUCUUGUGCUUUCCAGCUCACCAGAACAAAUCCCACCAAUGCCCUCCAGUGCAAACCCCAGAGCUCAGAAUGCUGAGGACAAGCCAGAAGGUUUGGCACGGCCCAGGGAUGGGAGCCAGGGUGAGGACAGGGGGGCAAAGACUGGAUAAAGCUCAUGGGAUGGCUGAUUUGCUGCCUUGAACUUGGUGGCCUUUUCCUCCUGCAAACGUGUGUGGAAGGGCAGGAGGUGUGUGAGCACCCACCUGCUCAUGGGCAGGGGGUUGGAGGGGACCCUUCCAGCAGCUCGGAGAGAGAGCGGCUCCGGCUGCCGACACCUCCUGGCAGGAGGCCUUUCAAUUGCUCCAUGUCUGUGUGCUGGAAAGCAAAACCUGCUGAGAUGAAACCCUCUGGCCUCCUCCCCCCGUCUCCAAGGCAAACACAGACAGUUCUGUUCCUACCCCGAGAAAUCCAUAUUUCAGCCUUGGACUCCCUUUGUGUGGGCUUUGUUUCAUCCAGCGCCACGGAGCUUGGAUGGCUUUUGCAGCUCAUAUUGUGCUUUGGAUGCAGCCUCCUCUCUCCAGCCCUCUUGCUGCCUCCAUGAAGAAUAACAGCGGCCGGUGUUGUGUUUUCCCUGGAUCACGGGCUGCUGGAAACCGAAGGGAAACGUUGCUGGAAGAGGGAGAGGGCCGGUGGGACGCCGCUGGAUCCUUCUCCCCAGCAGAGCUGCAGCCUGGGCUGUUUGGCUUUCUCAGGCCUUCAUGGUGAGCAACAAAUUGUCCUAUAAAAAUUCUUGCCUUGAAUUUUAUUUUUCUAAGGAGACAGGCCCAACUUGGGAACUUGGGACUUAAAUCUCCCCCUUAAAUGGACGGCAAAGUCCAAGAUAGAAGCUGUGGCCCUGAAAUCCAGCGGGGUCUUCAGGUUCUGCCUCUCUCCUUCCCUAAAUCUGCAUCUGAAGCCUCUUUUUCUGGCUGCGGAGGAAGAAAACCUUGCGAGGACAUUUCAGCUUCUCUUGCAGGCUGGCUACCAGUGUUCCAAGGAGGAGAGGGAGGAAUAACCAACAUUUCCGGCCAUUGGCUGCUCGCACGGCCCCCGGGAGCUCCUCGGGAAGGUUUUUAAAGGAAUAUUUAUGGAUGAUCCCGGUGAAUCAGGCCCUAAAAGGAAAACUGAGCACAGGAGGAGGGAUGGUUUGGUGGAAGAGCAUCCUAGGGUUUCCACUUUCAGAGCCUUUUCCUAAGACAUGAGUCACUUAAAAGCCUCCUGUAGACUCACUGAUAAGAGAAACUCCCUCGAGGUGAGCCCAGCUCUGUCCUUCAGCGUGUUUAUGUAAAGUACCUUUGGAACAGAUUUAUCCCACGGAAUGUGUGGAGGAGAUAAGGCCACACGUGCCCUCUGAGCCUGUUUCUUUCAGUGCAACGUCUUGAGGUUUAUCUGAGUGUGCCUGAG